This 377-nucleotide unclassified non-coding RNA is filed under the name plant metagenome. RNAcentral's name for it is "partial contains 5.8S ribosomal RNA, internal transcribed spacer 2, and large subunit ribosomal RNA". The stretch from base 1 to 104 matches the Rfam family "5.8S ribosomal RNA", at positions 51 to 154 of the family's 154-position model. The record is from RNAcentral.
AAAUGCGAUAAGUAAUGUGAAUUGCAGAAUUCAGUGAAUCAUCGAAUCUUUGAACGCACCUUGCGCUCCUUGGUAUUCCUUGGAGCAUGCCUGUUUGAGUAUCAUGAAAUCUUCAAAGUAAAUCUUUUGUUAACUCAAUUGGCUUCUACUUUGGUAUUGGAGGUCUUUGCAGCUUCACACCUGCUCCUCUUUGUUCAUUAGCUGGAUCUCAGUGUUAUGCUUGGUUCCACUCGGCGUGAUAAGUUAUCUAUCGCUGAGGACACUGUAAAAGGUGGCCAAGGUAAAUGCAGAUGAACCGCUUCUAAUAGUCCAUUGACUUGGACAAUACUUUUAUGAUCUGAUCUCAAAUCAGGUAGGACUACCCGCUGAACUUAAGC